This 402-nucleotide ribosomal RNA is filed under the name uncultured prokaryote. RNAcentral's name for it is "bacterial SSU rRNA". It matches the Rfam family "Bacterial small subunit ribosomal RNA", at positions 355 to 774 of the family's 1533-position model. The record is from RNAcentral.
UGGGGAAUCUUGGACAAUGGGGGAAACCCUGAUCCAGCCAUGCCGCGUGAGCGAUGAAGGCCUUAGGGUUGUAAAGCUCUUUCAGCGAGGAAGAUAAUGACGGUACUCGCCGAAGAAGCCCCGGCUAACUCCGUGCCAGCAGCCGCGGUAAUACGGAGGGGGCUAGCGUUGUUCGGAAUUACUGGGCGUAAAGCGCACGUAGGCGGAUCAGUCAGUUAGAGGUGAAAGCCCAGGGCUCAACCCUGGAACUGCCUUUAAUACUGCUGGUCUGGAGGUCGAGAGAGGUGAGUGGAAUUCCGAGUGUAGAGGUGAAAUUCGUAGAUAUUCGGAGGAACACCAGUGGCGAAGGCGGCUCACUGGCUCGAUACUGACGCUGAGGUGCGAAAGCGUGGGGAGCAAACA